Long non-coding RNA from Hippopotamus amphibius kiboko, 9578 nucleotides. RefSeq lists it as uncharacterized. The transcript is spliced from 5 exons. The record is from RefSeq and is a predicted model, not a curated record. NCBI's taxonomy places the organism in Eukaryota, Metazoa, Chordata, Mammalia, Artiodactyla, Hippopotamidae.
GUCCCGCGGGGCUGAAUGGGCGUCCCUGACGCCGCCAGGGGCGAGGCUUUGGUGUUCCCUCAGCGCCCGGAGUCCUGCUGACACGUCCUCCUUAGGCCAGAAACCCUCCUUCUGAUCCUGCGCGAGAGGAGGGGGGGUGGGGGUCUCUGAGGGGAGCGGCGAGCCCGCCGGCCCCGGUCUCUUUCCCUGGCGGCGGCGGCUUCUUCCGUAGGACAAUAUGUUCAAGAGAAUGGCCGAAUUUGGGCCUGACUCCGGCGGGAGAGUGAAGGGGGUUACUAUUGUUAAACCAGUAGUUUAUGGUAAUGUUGCUGGUUAUUUUGGAAAGAAAAGAGAAGAGGAUGGGCACACCCACCAGAGGACAGUGUAUGUAAAACCAUGUAGAAAUGAGGAUAUGUGAACAUAUGUGAAGAAAAUCCAAUUCAAAUUACUUGAAAGUUAUGGCAGUCCUUUAAGAGUAGUUACUAAGCUUCCAUAUAAAUUACUGAAACAAGAUGGGGUGAAUUUGAAAUAAUCAUCAAAAUAUUUUUCAUUGAUCCUAAUUCUGAAAGACCUAUGUCAUGUCUGUUUUUAUUUCAUGGGUGACCCUGUAUCGUUAAUUGAAGCUGUUUCAACCAGACACCAGUGCAAUGCUGGGAAAAAAAACAACACAGUGGUCUCAGAGUUUUAUGAUGGAAUGGUAAGAAGAUUUUAUAAUAAGAGUUUUUAAAACAUUUUAAAUUGUAGAUUUUGAAGUUAUUGGGCUUUUUUUCAUUCUGUCCCAUUAGAUAUUUUAAGACCCAACAGCAAUGAUGCAAAACUUAUUAAGCAUACCUCGUCAGCUUACCUUAGGAGCCUAUAAGCAUGAAACAAAAUAUAAGUGCCAUGAGUUCAUAAUUAAUCCUGAGAAAUAAUGUAUUCUGUAAUGGUGAAAGGAUUGUGUGAUUAGUGACUAUUAAAUUUUUUUCCUUGUUAUAUAUAGGUAAAAUUUUUAGGAGUUAAAAAACAAAAUAUAUAUUACUAAAGAACAGGUAAGAAGGAUGUUUUAAGUAGCUUUCAAAGUAGGCCUGCUUUGAAAAAGGUAGAAGGCAGCCUGUCAUACACUCUGAAAUACUAUUUGGCUUUAAUUCACUAAUUACAUUUAAGAAUAGCAUUUUGGACUUCCCUGAUUAAGAAUCCGCCUGCCAAUGCAGAUGACACGGAUUCGAUCCCUGGUUCAGGAAGAUUCCACAUGCCGGGGGGCAACUAAGCCUGUGUGCCACAACUACUCAUGCUGCUCUCCAGAGCCUUUGAGCCACAACUGCUGAGCCAGUGCACCGCAACUACUGAAGCCCACGUGCCUGGAGUCCGUGCUCCACAAGAGAUGCCACCUCAAUGAGAAGCUUAUGCACUGCAACAAAGAGUAGACCCCACUCACCACAACUAGAGAAAAGUCCGUGAGCAGCAACGAAGACUCAAUGCAGCCAAAAAAAAAAAAAAAAUACCUUUUCAUUAAUCUUGCUUAACCUGUCACUCAAUCAUUUUCUGUUUACUAGUCUUUGCUAACAAAAUCGGCAUGAAGAACCUUGCAGAACGUGAUUAUACUUGAGUGCACUGUGAAAUGGUUUCUGUCUCUCUGUCUCUCUUUUUAACCUCUCACUUUACAUAGUUCUGUGUUAAUGCUGGGGUGUUGAAGACCAGAAUGCCAUGUUGAUAGUCAGCCAUGGUGUCUUUUCCUUUAAACUGAUGUGGCCUCAGAAUCCCCUACACAUCAUUUCAUGCAACUGUUGCCAAUCAUUAGCAGUUGUCAUUCAAGAUAAAACCCAUUUACCAACCCUGUGUUAACACUUAUGUCACCAUUUAUUCAUGUGUUCCUUUGAUCUUUCAUUUAUUCGCUUACAACAUAUAUUGAGCACCAAUAAUAUGCCAGGCAUUGUUCUAGGUUCAGAGGAUAGAGCAGUGUCUAAAGUAGACAAAAGCGAGGGCUGCCCUCACAGAGCUUACAUUCUACUGGAAGGAAGACAAAUAUUAAAUAAAUAGAACAAUAAAGUGUAAGGUAGUGAUUGGAUGGCAUGGGGAAAACUAAAGCAGGGGAAGGAACACUUUUGGUGGGAGGAGAUGGUUAGAAUCUUAAAUAUCAGAUCAGAGAAUGCUUCCUGAAAUGGUGGCAUUUGAUCAGGUCCCAAAAAGAGAGGGGAAAUGCCCCAUGCGGCUCCCUGCGGGAAGAAUGUUACGUGUAGGGGCAGCAAGGGCAGGAGCCCUGAGGGAAGAGCACGCCUGGCAUAUCUGAGGAACAGCAAGAAGGCCGGUGUGACUGGAGCCCAGGGAGCAGGGGCGCAGGGAGUGUGAGCUGAGGCCAAAGAAGUUAACAGGGGACCCGCUCAUAUAGGGACUUGUGGGGAGGGAGAUGUGAAGGCUUUUGUGGGUUUUGAGCAGAAGGGUGACAUUAUAUGACUCACAUUUUAAAACGAUCAAUCGCCGUGGUUGCUGUGUUGAAAACAGACUGUAAAGCAGAAAGGAUAGAAGCACAAUAGUUAGGAGGCUAUUGCAGUAAUCCCGUCACAAUAGAAUUGUGGGUCGUACCAGAGUGAUAGCAGUGGAGCUGGUGGGAAGGGGUCAGGUUCUGUUUUGAAGAUAGGUACAAUAGGAUUUGCUGAUCGUUUGAUAAUAGGAUGUAAGAGAAGGAGAUGAACAAAGAGUGACUCUUAAGGUUUGGGGCCUGAGGAAACAAAAUAAUAUUGUUGUUGCUUUUUCUAGAGAUAGGAAGUCUGGGAGGGGCAGGUUUCAGGGGAAAGAUGAGGAGUACAGUUUUGGACAUGAUGGUUGUGUGGUGCCUGUAAGUGGAGAUGUUGAGAAAGGAAUUGUACUCAAAAUCUGGUAUUCAAGGAGAGGUCUAGGCUGAAGAUAUAAAUUUGGAAGGUAAUAUAUAGAUGGAUUUACAAGUUGUGAGGCCAAAUGGUAUCAUCACAAGAGUAAGUGAAGAUACAAAAGAGGUUCAAGGAUUGAGCUCUGGGCACUCCCAACAUUUAGAGAUUAAGGAGAUGACCAGCAAAGGAAUUAGGAAAGAACAGUGAGUGUGGAGGGAGAAAAACUAGGUGCACAUAAUAUCCUAGAGCCAAGUGAAGAAAGUAUAGCAAGACACAGUCAUUAGCCAGUCCAGUAAGAUGAGAGCCAAGAAGAGGCUAGAGCCAGGUGGAGGUCCUUGGUGACCUUAACAGGAGCAGUUGAAGGAAAAUAGGACAGAAGAUCAGUUGAAAUGGAUCAAGAGAGAAUGAGACUUGAGAAAUUCGAGACAGUACUGUGGACAACUCUGUCCUGGAGCGUAACUGUAAAGGGAAAGUACCCUUUAAACAGUAACAAAAGCAGGAUUUGGGGUCAAGAGGGUCGUGUUUUCAGGGGCAAAUAGACCAGUAUAGCUGUAGGCUCUAAGAAGUGAUCUAGAAAAAGAAAGGGGUUCGGGGGAUGAGAAUGUAGGGGAGAAAGAAGUUGCUGUUUGACCAUUAAUGGUUAUAGUAGUGUUUUGUUUGCAUUCAUAUUUUCAUGAAACCCAUGACUGAAUACUGAUGAUAAUUGCCACUUGGUAGUCAUUUAAAAUUUAAAAUCACACUCAUUAAAAAAUUUUAUGGUUCACUUUCUACGUCUGAAAAAAUAUUUACUUGGCCUACUUUAUUAUGAACAUAAAACAGAUGUGUACAUGAUCAGUUUGGAAAGGUAGUAAGUACUGCUAAUAUGCUAUUUUACUUUGUUAUUGGUGAGUUUUUCUCCAUUAUAGAUCUUCUUUCUCCAAUACUAUGAAAUGUGCCCAAUUCAUAGAGCAAACUUCUCUUUUAAACUUCAAGUGCCCACAUUUCUGUGUUUUCAACAAAACUAAUAUCAUUAAUUCAUAUAUGUGUAGCAGUAGAGACAAAUGUGUUUUAUAAAAAGGCUUUUCUACAAAUUAAUUUUGAUGUGUUAAAGCUUAUGUGUGGAGUUUUAUAAUCUUGGGAAGCUUUUAUCAGUAAAUUGCACGUUUUGUAUUAUCUUCAGGUUAUUUUCUCAAUAGUAUCAAAUCCGUAAGGAAGAAAAAGAUAAUUCUGUAAAUGGUAUUGGAACAAUUGAUAACUUUUGAGAAGAAAAGUUAAUUUAGAUCAUUGCUUCAUAGCACUUAUCAAAACAAAUUUCAGUUUAAUUAAUAAUAGUUAACUGUUUUCUUUUUGAAGUCCUAACCUGCUUAAAAAAUUAGAGAGACGACUAUCCUGACUGGGGAAGACUUUUAAAAUUUGAGAUGUUGGAAGAAAUCACAUUAAAAGAAAGACAAACUUGAUUUUGCAGAAAAAAAUUUGUCGCAUUUCAAAAGGACAAAAGAGAAAAAUUAAUUUGUAGAAAAUAUGGCAAAUGAUUAAUAUCUUUAAAGCCCUAAAAUAAAUAAAAUAGAAUAAAAUUUUAAACUUCAGUUGGUAAAUGGACAAAAGACAUGGACAGAUGAAAGAGGAGAUGACUCGUUAAUAAAAAGGGAAAAUAUUUGACCCUGCUAGUAAUUUUUUAAAUGCAAACCAGAUAAUAAUGGGUUUUCAUAUUUAUAUCAAGUCAGCAGAAGGAACCUUUAGUAGUUGUACCUAUUAAGGGUGUGGUGAACCCUGUGUUCUAUGAAUUAUUUGUGUGAGUAGGCCUUUUAGGAAAGCAACUUGGGCAUAGUAAUCAAAGGUCUAAAAAAGAUGGGGAUAGUUUUACCAGUUUGAGAGCAUUAUACUCAGUAUUUGGUAAUAAUAUCAGAUUUAUUGAGUGCUAACUGUUUGUAGUCUUCUAAAUCUGUACAUGUAUAAACUCAUUUACAUCUACAAUAAUUUUAUUAGGUUUAUUAGGUAAUCCAUUUAGAAAAGGAAACGGGGGACCUCCCUGGUGGCACAGUGGUUAAGAAUCCACCUGCCAAUGCAGGGGACAUGGGUUCCAUCCCUGGGCCGGGAAGAUCCCACAUGCCACGGAGCUACUAAGCCCGUGAGCCACAACUACAGGGCCUGCACUCUAGAGCCCACAAGCCACAACUAUUGAGCCUGUGUGCCACAACUACUGAGGCCCGAGCACCUAAAGCACAUGCUCUGCAACAAGACAAGCCACUGCAAUGAGAGGCCUGCACACCACAGCGAAGAGUAGCCCCUGCUCGCCACAACUAGAGAAAGCCCACAAGCAGCAAUAAAGACCCAAUGCAGCCAAUAAAUAAAUAAAUAAAUAAAUAAAUAAAUAAAUAAAUUUAUUUUUAAAAAAAAAAGGCAAAGUAAAGUGAGGCAUAGGGAGAGUAAGAAACUUGCCCAAGUUAACACACGUCAGUGAUAGAGCCAGGACUUGAUGCUAAACUCAGAACUUAGGCUCUAAAAACAGUAAUAUUUUUAGAUAGAGUAAUAGGGUAGAGGUUGCUCAUUACUAAAGCACUUUAGAAGCUUAUAAAGAUAUUUAUACUGGUAAUUGUAGAAAUUUACUCAAAUACUAAUGAUCUAGCUUUUAAUAGGAAUUGCUUCUACAAGGAAUAAUUAAAAUGAUAGUGAAUGCUUAAUGAGAACUUACUUGUGGAAAUAUAAAUUGAUACAGCCACUGUGGAGAACAGUAUGGAGGUUCCUUAAAAAACAAAAACUAGGGACUUCCCUGGUGGCGCAGUGGUUAAGAAUCCACCUGCCAAUGCAGGGGACACGGGUUCCAUCCCGUGUAAUCAUUAACCUAUAUUAGCUUUGCAAAAGUAUUAAUUCUUCUUUGGAUUGAUUUAUUCUGAAUUGAGGCUUCAUUUGGACAUUUAAAACAGAAAAUUUAUAUAUAUAUUAAUGUAUACAUACACACACAUAUAAAAUGUAUGUAUAAGCAUUUAUAUAGGAAGCAGAAAACUAAAAUAGGCCAAAAGAAGUUUAGAUGUUUUCCCCUAGGAUCUCAUUGCUAAUUAAUCCAGUUCUUCUUCCAACAUACGUACGCUUUGCAGUCUUAUGAUUUGUCAAAAAUAAAGUAUAGUGACUAAAUCAGACAACAAAAAUUUGUAUCUACAGUGAAUGCUGUCCUCUGACAAAUGAGUUAAAUCAGGUCUUCCUGACUAGAUUUAAACACCCCCCCCCCCCCCCCACCGCCACACACACACACACAAUGGAAUCUUAGCCAUAAAAAAGGAGAAAUCUUGCCAUUUGGGACAACAUGGAUGGAACUUGAAGGCAGUAUGCUAAAUGAAAUGAAUCGGAGAAAGGCAAAUACAGUAUACUUUCACUUAUAUGUGAAAUCUUAAAAAAAAAAAGUUCAUAGAGAACAGAUUGGUGGUUGCCAGAGGUGGGAGGUGAGGAGUAGGCAAAAAGGUACAAACUGCUAAAUAUAAAAUAAAUGUCAUGGGGAUGUAAUUUACAGGAUGGUGACUGUAGUUAAUGAUACUGUAUUGCGUAUUUGUAAGUUGCUAAGAGAGUAGUUCUUGAAAUUUCUCAUCACAAGGAAAGAAUUUGUAACUAUAUAUGGUGACAGAAGUUAACUUCAGACUUACUGUGAUGAUCAUUUUGCAGUAUAUACAAGUAUUGAAUCAUUAUGUUGUACACCUGAAACUAGUGUGUUUUUUUAAAAUGUUUAUUUUUGGCUGUGUUGGGUCUUCGUUGCUGCGUAUGGGCUUUCUCUAGUGUGUCGAGCAGGAACUACUGUUCAGUGUGGUGCAUGGGCUUCUCAUUGCAGUGGCUUCUCAUUGCAGAGCACAGGCUCUAGGCACGCAGGCUUCAGUAGUUGUGGCACAUGGGCUCAAUAGUUGUGGCUUGCCGGCUCUACAGCACAGGCUCAGUAGUUGUGGUGCACGGGCUUAGGUGCUUCUGAGCAUGUGGAAUCUUCCCGGACAGGGAUCGAACCCGUGUCCCCUGCAUUGGCAGGUGGAUUCUCAGCUACUGUGCCACCAGGGAAGCCCUGACACUAGUGUGUUAUAUGUCAAUUAUAUCUCAAUUUUUAAAAAGGGGGGCGCCAAUAACCUAUUAGAAAAAUAAGCAAAGGAAAAACAGGCAAUUCAUAAAAAGAAAGGGAGGGAUGUCUCCUAAAUAUGUUAAAAGACUGUCAGCCUCAGAAAUAAUAGAAAUGUAAAUUAAAAGCAUUCUGAAAUACCAUUUUUCACCUUUCAGAUUAACUAAGACCAACAGGUUGACGCAGUAGGGAAAUAGAGGUACAACGCUAGUGAGAUUAUAAAUUAAUAGAACUUCUGAGUCACUUGGCAUUCUUACAAAACUGCAAGCACAAAUAUCCUUCGACCUAACAAUUACUAUUUACAGGAAUUUAUCCCCCAAGUGUAUCAAAAUGAUUCUGCACAGCAUACACAUUAUAGCAUUGUUUGUAAUAGAGAAAAUGGAAAUAUUCCAAAUGCACAUCAGAGGGGACAGAGUAAUGAGUUGUGUAUGUCCAUUCAAUGAGGUCCUCUGCAGCCUUUGAAAGACUGAGACAGCCCUGUGAUGUGGAACGGGCUUUCAGAUGUAGUGAUGUUAAGUGAAAGAGCAGGGUGCAGGGCAGUGUGGAUAGUGUGACACCACUUGUGUUGUGGGCGAGGAGAAGUCACACUUAGGUGUAUGCUCGUCUCUGAACUGAUUAUUUCUGGAAAGAUACCAAAGAAACCUAACAGUGAUUAUCUCUGGGAAGAGCACUGGUUGGCGGUGGGCAGGGGUGAAAGACUUUUUUGAAAAUGUUUAUUGGAGUAUAGUUGACUUACCAUAUUGUGUUUCAUGUGUACAACAAAGUGAAUCAGUCAUACACGUAUUAAAAGGAAACAUUUUUUUCCAUUGUCUACACUCUUCAGCCUUUUAAUUUUGUAUCAUGUAUAUGUACUACCUAUUUUCAAAAAUAAUUUUAAAACUAAAGUAAUGAAAAAUUAUGGGACUUCCAGGUGGUUCAGUGGUUAAGAAUCCACCUGCCAAUGCAGGGUACUUGGGUUUGAGCCCUGCUCCAGGAAGAUCCCACAUGCUGUGGAGCAGCUAAGCCCACAUGCCACAACUAUUGAGUCUGUGCUCUGCAACAAGAGAAGCCACCACAGUGAGGAGCCCGUGCACCACAAUGAAGAGUACUCCCAGCCGCAGGCUCUCCGCAACUGGAGAAAGCCCGUGUGCAGCAAUGAAAGUUCAACACAGCCAAUAAAUUAAUUAAUUAAUUUAAAAAAUAAAAUAAUGAAAAUUACAAAGAAAAAUAUGGAUUGUUUUGACAAUGUAAAAGUUUACCUGUGUUACAAAAUGUAUCACAAAAAAAGUCACCAGCAUUGAGAAAAAUAAGGACACAUUGAAUGUUUUUAAUGUGCUAGAUGCUUUACAUGGAUUACUUAAUCCUCAUAAAUCCACUGAGAAAUGUAAAAUUUUAACUGUGUCAUCUAGAAAGAAGGGAUUAAGGGAGACUUUGAGAUAACAGCAUUCAGCUAGUAAGGGGCCAAGGGUAUAUUUGAACUCGAGUCUUUCUGAUUUCAAUGGUUUUGGGUUUUUUUCUUCAGCAAACCACAGGCCUUCCAAGUUAGUGAUCCUUUUACGUUAACAAAAGUGCACCUGCCUCAACAGUCAUGAGCAGCAGUUACCUGAAAUGUCCACAAGGUGGAAAUGUUGGAUGAUAGUGGGCAUUUUUCUCUGUAAAACAUGAUGCUACCCUACCCCAGUGGAAGAGUUAAGUAGAUAUAAUCUAUUUUGCAGUAAUGAUAUUUUUCUUUAGUACUUUGUUAUGUAGCCAGCUAGAAUGUUUUAGUCAGUGUUCCUCUGUCAUAAUAGUAGUUAAUAUGGUUUUUUAUAUGCCAGAUGGUAUUCCUUUUACAUCUUUUUAAACAAAUAAUAUUAUGAGGUGUUUGCUAUUAUAAUCUUCAUUUUAGCAAUGAGGAAUAGAGCAUAGAGAUAAUAAGUAGCUUAUUUAGAGCAGCACAGCUAGUAAAUGAUAGCGCUGGAAUUCAAACCUACACAGUUAUUGCUGUCUCUUUUUUGAAAAAAGAUACAGGUUUGUUUUCCCAGUGUGAUUUUGUUUAUGUAAGUUUUACCUGGACAUAAAUUUAAGAAUACUGCUUUUAGUAAACUGUUAUUAGCUGGAUGUCUCUUGGACUGUAUACUCCCUAAUUUCCAAAUUAAUAUGUAUAUGGAGAAAACAAGGACAUUAUGUCUUAAAAUCUGAACUGUGAAUUAAAAUAUUAGUGGCCAGAAUUUCACUCUUAGCAGUAGAAAACAUCUCAGAUCCUCUCUUGAGGAUCUUUCUUACCCACCCUCCUGUGUUUAAAGUUACAUAUCUUAAGUUGUCCACGUUUCAUUGUGGAAACAUUGACCUAAGGAAAUGCCACAUUUAUUACUCUAUGACAUAGCUUGGACAUGAGAGAAAAAUGAAUUAAAUCAGUAAAAGUGUAUAUUUUCUUUAGUUGCUGAACUUAAAGUGAAAACCAGAGAAAAUUUAGAAGCUGGGGGGGAAAAGAAGCUUUGAUAGUGCAGAGCUUAAAAAGGGAUUAAAAGCAAGUUGUGAAACUAUAAUUGUUUAAAAAAUGAAAUCAGGAAACUCAAAAAAGAUGAUCAGACGAAAGAAAUAUAAAUAGUUCUGAAGAGAGCUUGACAGUAAGCUAAACUGAAAAUAAGGUGGACUUGCUGAACUUCAAGCAGGUGAACCACCCGCUGAACCGACAUUGAAAGGUCCUUGCGAUUCAGCCCAACGCA